UUGUUGGUAAGGUAAAAGCUUACCAAGGCUUCGAUCAGUAGCUGGUCUGAGAGGACGACCAGCCACACUGGGACUGAGACACGGCCCAGACUCCUACGGGAGGCAGCAGUGGGGAAUUUUGGACAAUGGGGGCAACCCUGAUCCAGCCAUGCCGCGUGAGUGAAGAAGGCCUUCGGGUUGUAAAGCUCUUUCAGCCGGAACGAAACGGUUACGGAUAACACCCGUGACUACUGACGGUACCGGAAGAAGAAGCACCGGCUAACUACGUGCCAGCAGCCGCGGUAAUACGUAGGGUGCGAGCGUUAAUCGGAAUUACUGGGCGUAAAGCGUGCGCAGGUGGUUUUGUAAGUCAGAUGUGAAAGCCCCGGGCUCAACCUGGGAACUGCGUUUGAAACUACAAGACUAGAGUGUGGCGGAGGGGGGUGGAAUUCCGCGUGUAGCAGUGAAAUGCGUAGAGAUGUGGAGGAACACCGAUGGCGAAGGCAGCCCCCUGGGUCAACACUGACGCUCAGGCACGAAAGCAUGGGGAGCAAACAGGAUUAGAUACCCUGGUAGUCCAUGCCCUAAACGAUGUCAACUAGUUGUCGGGCCUUUACGGGCUUGGUAACGUAGCUAACGCGUGAAGUUGACCGCCUGGGGAGUACGAUCGCAAGAUUAAAACUCAAAUGAAUUGACGGGGACCCGCACAAGCGGUGGAUUAUGUGGAUUAAUUCGAUGCAACGCGAAAAACCUUACCUACCCUUGACAUGUAUCGAAGCCCGCAGAAAAGCGGGGGUGCCCGAAAGGGAACGAUAACACAGGUGCUGCAUGGCUGUCGUCAGCUCGUGUCGUGAGAUGUUGGGUUAAGUCCCGCAACGAGCGCAACCCUUGUCAUUAAUUGCCAUCAUUUAGUUGGGCACUUUAAUGAGACUGCCGG
This 916-nucleotide ribosomal RNA is filed under the name uncultured bacterium. Its description in RNAcentral is "bacterial SSU rRNA". It matches the Rfam family "Bacterial small subunit ribosomal RNA", at positions 246 to 1155 of the family's 1533-position model. The record is from RNAcentral.